GACGAACGCUGGCGGCGUGCUUAACACAUGCAAGUCGAACGGAAAGGCCCUGCUUUUGUGGGGUGCUCGAGUGGCGAACGGGUGAGUAACACGUGAGUAACCUGCCCUUGACUUUGGGAUAACUUCAGGAAACUGGGGCUAAUACCGGCUAGGAGCUCCUGCUGCAUGGUGGGGUUUGGAAAGUUUCGGCGGUUGGGGAUGGACUCGCGGCUUAUCAGCUUGUUUGUGGGGUAGUGGCUUACCAAGGCUUUGACGGGUAGCCGGCCUGAGAGGGUGACCGGCCACAGUGGGACUGAGAUACGGACCAGAAUCCUACGGGAGGAAGCAGUGGGGAAUAUUGCACAAUGGGCGGAAGCCUGAUGCAGCAACGCCGCGUGCGGGAUGACGGCCUUCGGGUUGUAAACCGCUUUCGCCUGUGACGAAGAGUGAGUGACGGUAAUGGGUAAAGAAGCACCGGCUAACUACGUG
This 468-nucleotide ribosomal RNA is filed under the name uncultured bacterium. RNAcentral describes it as "partial 16S ribosomal RNA". It matches the Rfam family "Bacterial small subunit ribosomal RNA", at positions 28 to 507 of the family's 1533-position model. The record is from RNAcentral.